This 253-nucleotide ribosomal RNA is filed under the name uncultured bacterium. Its description in RNAcentral is "partial 16S ribosomal RNA". It matches the Rfam family "Bacterial small subunit ribosomal RNA", at positions 524 to 776 of the family's 1533-position model. The record is from RNAcentral.
UACGUAGGGCGCAAGCGUUGUCCGGAAUUACUGGGCGUAAAGGGCGCGUAGGCGGCUUCGCUAGUUGGGCGUGAAAUGCCUGGGCUUAACCCAGGAAUUGCGCCCAAUACUUCGAGGCUCGAGUGUGGGAGAGGAUAGUGGAAUUCCCAGUGUAGAGGUGAAAUUCGUAGAUAUUGGGAAGAACACCAGCGGCGAAGGCGGCUAUCUGGACCACAACUGACGCUGAGGCGCGAAAGCGUGGGGAGCAAACAGG